UAUAGAGGAACUACUGAAACUGUACUGAUCUGUGAAGAGGCUUUUCCAGUGCAAUUAAUGUAUUUAUCACAUCCAAAUUCCCUGUGCAUUAGUUUUACUGGCAUUGUGCAGAUGACAGAUUUAUUUAUUUAUUUAUUUAUUUAUUUAUUUAUUGUGCACUGGAGCAUAUUUCAGCUCAAAUAACAGUGUAUGCAGGUGGCUGGAGUAGAACAGUAUUUCCACUUAAGACGAACCAGAACCAAACAAAUGUGUGGCUUCAUGAAAUACCUGUGCAAUUCCUACAACAUCCCUGUGCUACCUGGACCAGAACGUCAUCCUGUCUGUCAUUAGGAGUGUACUGGCUGACUUAGGUUGAAAUAGCAAUGCUGGCAAGUGUUUGAAGCAAAGCAGAUUGUAAGCCUAUCUUGUAGCAACGCCAGCCAACACACUUCACUAAUAGCAACCAGAAUAGCUUGGAAAUUUACAUGAUUGAUACAUAAAUAGAAGAAAAAUAGAAUGCACAGAGGACAAGAGGUAAGACAAGAGAAUUCUGGUAUCACACAUUUACUCUUUCUAUGAAUCUGAAGCUGUUGGAAAACCCACUGGAAAAUCUAUCAUUAUAGAAGACGAAUGGAACUUGGACCAAUGUCAAAGCCUUUGAAAAGAUACUUUUUAGUCAGGAAUAAUUCAAUUAUUACUGAAUUAUAUAAAUUCAAUAAUAAAUAUAAUUAUACUAUAUACAGUAUGUAUAAUAUAUAAUUAUAAUAUAAUUAUAAUCAAUAUAAAUAAUAAUAAUAAAUAAUAAUAAUUUAAAAAAAGAUUAACUGGUGGUAGUCAGACAAAAAGACCAAAUAAGUGAUUAAACAAAAUUCUCAUACCACAACAUUUUCUGGAGCACUUCAUGAUGUUCGAAUGCUAUAUCAAAGUGUAAACAAAGUGUGAACAUAUCACAUCAGUUCAACCAAGGUAUGAUUUGGAUGAGUGUGGUGGAAUACAUUGAAAUGUUGAUCAUGUAGCACGUUAGUGAGCUGUGUAUUGACAGGGAGCUUCCAUAGUCAAGGUGUUGCUUUUGAUUGCUUGUUAAACUCUCUCAGUGAUUUGUGACUAAUCUAUAUCUAAUUUGAAGUAUUCAAUAGAAUCUCUUGCAUCUCUAUGUUGAAGGCCCUUUUCUUUGAUACAGUUUGUUCUGAAUUUUAUUACCCCCUGAUUUCAGUUAAACAUGUG
RNAcentral lists this long non-coding RNA (1203 nucleotides) under Gallus gallus (chicken). RNAcentral describes it as "lncRNA (ENSGALG00010008833.1)". The record is from RNAcentral. Lineage: Eukaryota; Metazoa; Chordata; Aves; Galliformes; Phasianidae.